RNAcentral lists this ribosomal RNA (253 nucleotides) under uncultured bacterium. Its description in RNAcentral is "partial 16S ribosomal RNA". It matches the Rfam family "Bacterial small subunit ribosomal RNA", at positions 524 to 776 of the family's 1533-position model. The record is from RNAcentral.
UACGAAGGGGGCUAGCGUUGCUCGGAAUCACUGGGCGUAAAGCGCACGUAGGCGGCUUUCUAAGUCAGGGGUGAAAUCCUGGAGCUCAACUCCAGAACUGCCUUUGAUACUGGAGAGCUUGAGUUCGGGAGAGGUGAGUGGAACUGCGAGUGUAGAGGUGAAAUUCGUAGAUAUCGUGUGGAACGCCAAAGGUGAAAACAGACAGCUGGGAGUGUGCUGACGCUGAGACACGAAAGCCAGGGGAGCGAACGGG